GUGGGGAAUAUUGGACAAUGGGCGAAAGCCUGAUCCAGCCAUGCCGCGUGAGUGAUGAAGGCCUUAGGGUUGUAAAGCUCUUUCAGUAGGGAAGAUAAUGACGGUACCUACAGAAGAAGCCCCGGCUAACUUCGUGCCAGCAGCCGCGGUAAUACGAAGGGGGCUAGCGUUGUUCGGAUUUACUGGGCGUAAAGCGCACGUAGGCGGAUUGGUCAGUUAGAGGUGAAAUCCUGGAGCUCAACUCCAGAACUGCCUUUAAUACUGCCAGUCUAGAGUCCAGAAGAGGUGAGUGGAACUCCUAGUGUAGAGGUGGAAUUCGUAGAUAUUAGGAAGACCACCCGUGGCGAAGGCGGCUCACUGGUCUGGUACUGACGCUGAGGUGCGAAAGCGUGGGGAGCAAACAGGAUUAGAUACCCGAGUAGUCC
Molecule: ribosomal RNA, 425 nt
Filed under: uncultured bacterium
Lineage: Bacteria
Description: partial 16S ribosomal RNA
Rfam family: Bacterial small subunit ribosomal RNA
Source: RNAcentral